UCUUUUUUUUUUUUCUUUUUUUUUCUCCCUUUUUGUUGUGUCCUUUAGUUAGUGUUUCUAGCCAUCUCUGUUAUUAUACUCUGAAGUGGUUAUCGUUGAAGAGGGGAAUGCAAGUUCGGGAUGGGGCUGCAGGAAUAGAGGUGUAUAAUGUUUUUAGGUUUUGGUGAAAAAGUACUAACAAAGUAGGAAUUUCUCAGUUUCUUUUUUCUUUUUCUCUUUAAUGCAACUUUGUUGGGUGAUGAUGGGUUGUAGAAUAUG
This 258-nucleotide unclassified non-coding RNA is filed under the name Hevea brasiliensis (rubber tree). Lineage: Eukaryota; Viridiplantae; Streptophyta; Magnoliopsida; Malpighiales; Euphorbiaceae. The record is from RNAcentral.